GAUAAUAGGCUGACCUUUCCCAAGAUUCCACAUCGACGGAAAGGUUUGGCAGCUCGAUGUCAGCUCUUUGCUACCUGAAGCUAUAGGUGGUUCCAAGGGUUGGGCUAUUUGCCCAUUAAUGCGGUAUGUGAGCCGGGUUCAGAACACCGUGAGACAC
This 157-nucleotide non-coding RNA is filed under the name Triticum aestivum (bread wheat). RNAcentral describes it as "Bacterial large subunit ribosomal RNA". It matches the Rfam family "Bacterial large subunit ribosomal RNA", at positions 2473 to 2629 of the family's 2925-position model. Lineage: Eukaryota; Viridiplantae; Streptophyta; Magnoliopsida; Poales; Poaceae. The record is from Rfam by way of RNAcentral.